This 512-nucleotide ribosomal RNA is filed under the name uncultured bacterium. RNAcentral's name for it is "partial 16S ribosomal RNA". It matches the Rfam family "Bacterial small subunit ribosomal RNA", at positions 28 to 507 of the family's 1533-position model. The record is from RNAcentral.
GACGAACGCUGGCGGCGUGCCUAAUACAUGCAAGUCGAGCGAGCGGAACCAACAGAUUUACUUCGGUAAUGACGUUGGGAAAGCGAGCGGCGGAUGGGUGAGUAACACGUGGGGAACCUGCCCCUAAGUCUGGGAUACCAUUUGGAAACAGGUGCUAAUACCGGAUAAGAAAGCAGAUCGCAUGAUCAGCUUUUAAAAGGCGGCGUAAGCUGUCGCUAAGGGAUGGCCCCGCGGUGCAUUAGCUAGUUGGUAAGGUAACGGCUUACCAAGGCAACGAUGCAUAGCCGAGUUGAGAGACUGAUCGGCCACAUUGGGACUGAGACACGGCCCAAACUCCUACGGGAGGCAGCAGUAGGGAAUCUUCCACAAUGGACGCAAGUCUGAUGGAGCAACGCCGCGUGAGUGAAGAAGGUUUUCGGAUCGUAAAGCUCUGUUGUUGGUGAAGAAGGAUAGAGGUAGUAACUGGCCUUUAUUUGACGGUAAUCAACCAGAAAGUCACGGCUAACUACGUG